This 965-nucleotide ribosomal RNA is filed under the name Flavobacterium sp. RNAcentral describes it as "bacterial SSU rRNA". It matches the Rfam family "Bacterial small subunit ribosomal RNA", at positions 36 to 1008 of the family's 1533-position model. The record is from RNAcentral. Lineage: Bacteria; Pseudomonadati; Bacteroidota; Flavobacteriia; Flavobacteriales; Flavobacteriaceae.
CCAAAACGGAAGCUUACACAUGCAGUCGAGGGGUAUUGGUUUUCGGACCAAGAGACCGGCGCACGGGUGCGUAACGCGUAUGCAAUCUACCUUUUGCAGAGGGAUAGCCCAGAGAAAUUUGGAUUAAUACCUCAUAGUAUAGCAGUUUCGCAUGAGACCACUAUUAAAGUCACAACGGCAAAAGAUGAGCAUGCGUCCCAUUAGCUAGUUGGUAAGGUAACGGCUUACCAAGGCAACGAUGGGUAGGGGUCCUGAGAGGGAGAUCCCCCACACUGGUACUGAGACACGGACCAGACUCCUACGGGAGGCAGCAGUGAGGAAUAUUGGACAAUGGGCGCAAGCCUGAUCCAGCCAUGCCGCGUGCAGGAUGACGGUCCUAUGGAUUGUAAACUGCUUUUGUACAGGAAGAAACACCUCUACGUGUAGAGAUUUGACGGUACUGUAAGAAUAAGGAUCGGCUAACUCCGUGCCAGCAGCCGCGGUAAUACGGAGGAUCCAAGCGUUAUCCGGAAUCAUUGGGUUUAAAGGGUCCGUAGGCGGUUUAGUAAGUCAGUGGUGAAAGCCCAUCGCUCAACGGUGGAACGGCCAUUGAUACUGCUAGACUUGAAUUAUUAGGAAGUAACUAGAAUAUGUAGUGUAGCGGUGAAAUGCUUAGAGAUUACAUGGAAUACCAAUUGCGAAGGCAGGUUACUACUAAUUGAUUGACGCUGAUGGACGAAAGCGUGGGUAGCGAACAGGAUUAGAUACCCUGGUAGUCCACGCCGUAAACGAUGGAUACUAGCUGUUGGGCGCAAGUUCAGUGGCUAAGCGAAAGUGAUAAGUAUCCCACCUGGGGAGUACGUUCGCAAGAAUGAAACUCAAAGGAAUUGACGGGGGCCCGCACAAGCGGUGGAGCAUGUGGUUUAAUUCGAUGAUACGCGAGGAACCUUACCAAGGCUUAAAUGUAGAUUGACCGGUUUGGAACA